This 462-nucleotide ribosomal RNA is filed under the name uncultured soil bacterium. RNAcentral describes it as "bacterial SSU rRNA". It matches the Rfam family "Bacterial small subunit ribosomal RNA", at positions 26 to 502 of the family's 1533-position model. The record is from RNAcentral.
AGAUUGAACGCUGGCGGCAUGCCUUACACAUGCAAGUCGAACGGCAGCACGGGAGCAAUCCUGGUGGCGAGUGGCGAACGGGUGAGUAAUACAUCGGAACGUGCCCAAUCGUGGGGGAUAACGCAGCGAAAGCUGUGCUAAUACCGCAUAAGAUCUACGGAUGAAAGCAGGGGAUCGCAAGACCUUGCGCGAAUGGAGCGGCCGAUGGCAGAUUAGGUAGUUGGUGAGGUAAAGGCUCACCAAGCCUUCGAUCUGUAGCUGGUCUGAGAGGACGACCAGCCACACUGGGACUGAGACACGGCCCAGACUCCUACGGGAGGCAGCAGUGGGAAUUUUGGACAAUGGGCGAAGCCUGAUCCAGCCAUGCCGCGUGCAGGAUGAAGGCCGUUCGGUUCGUAAACGUGUCUUUUUGGUACGGUAACGUAAACGGCUUACCGUUUUAAGUAAAGUAGGUACUUAAGU